RNAcentral lists this ribosomal RNA (253 nucleotides) under uncultured bacterium. RNAcentral describes it as "partial 16S ribosomal RNA". It matches the Rfam family "Bacterial small subunit ribosomal RNA", at positions 524 to 776 of the family's 1533-position model. The record is from RNAcentral.
UACAGAGGUCCCAAGCGUUGUUCGGAUUCACUGGGCGUAAAGGGUGCGUAGGCGGUCGGGUAAGUCUGUCGUGAAAUCUCCGAGCCCAACUCGGAAACUGCGUCGGAUACUAUUCGGCUAGAGGAAUGGAGGGGAGACUGGAAUUCCCGGUGUAGCGGUGAAAUGCGCAGAUAUCGGGAGGAACACCAAUGGCGAAGGCAGCUCGCUGGGACGUUACUGACGCUGAGACGCGAAAGCGUGGGGAGCAAACAGG